UUCUUCUAGCUAACAAUGUGAAAAUGCGUGCAGUGCCUGAUUUUUCCCUAUAUAAACCAUCUUCUUGAUGAAACCCAUACCACCACAAAAUGUACCACACACUAGCUAGCUACGCUUCCAGUCUUUUUCUAGAUCUCUCUUUAAUUUGAGCAGCGGCCAGCGGCAUACUAAUUGAAGUUCAUUCAUCUUUGAAUUUAGAAACAUCCAGUUAGCUAUAUAUCAUAUCGUAUCGAAUGAGGUCAUCAGGGGUAUGGAGAAGAGGCGUACGGCUUGUAAGAGGGAGAAAAAGAAGAAUAUCGACGCCUUCUUGUGCUAACAAAUUAUACAUGACUGGUACUACUACGGCAGCACAGAGGACGCUGAGGAAGCUGAAGAGGAUAAUUCCCGGGUGCCAAUUAGUGAUGGACACCGAGACUUUGUUUCAGAAGACGGCCGAUUACAUAUUUCUCCUUGAGCUCCAUCUCAACUUUCUCAAGAAUAUGUAUACUCUAUGUGGAGAGCGAGCUAGCUAGCUAAAAAUAGUACCUCAUCUUAAAAAAUCAUAUUCCGUGGCACAAUAUAUAUAUAUCUUCGUUGCAUCAGACUAUUCCUUUUCGCCUCUUUGGUGGGAAAAAAAAUGAUCCAUAUAAACGGCAGGGGAGUGUGUG
This 647-nucleotide long non-coding RNA is filed under the name Panax ginseng (ginseng). Its description in RNAcentral is "long non-coding RNA (PGIN_LNC007796)". Lineage: Eukaryota; Viridiplantae; Streptophyta; Magnoliopsida; Apiales; Araliaceae. The record is from RNAcentral.